AUGCUUUCUUCAGCAACGUAUAUACUAAAAUUGGAGUGACACAGAGAAGAUUAGCAUGGCCCCUGCACAAGGAUGACACAGAAAUUCAUGAAGCAUUCCAUAAAAAA
This is a small nuclear RNA of Urocitellus parryii (Arctic ground squirrel), 107 nucleotides long. Lineage: Eukaryota; Metazoa; Chordata; Mammalia; Rodentia; Sciuridae. The record is from Ensembl.